CCCUUAGAUGUUCUGGGCUGCACGCGCGCUACACUGACAUGUCCAGCGAGCUCCCAACCUGCUCGGCAAAGAAUGGGUACCCUUUUUAACGCAUGUCGUGAUGGGGAUAGAUUAUUGCAAUUGUUGAUCUUGAACGAGGAAUUCCUAGUAAGUGCAAGUCAUUAGCUUGUGCUGAAUACGUCCCUGCCCUUUGUACACACCGCCCGUCGCUACUACCGAUUGAAUGGUUUAGUGAGAUCUUCGGAUUGGCGCCACUGCGGCUCAGCAAUGGGCUCGGUGGAUGCCGAAAAGUUGAUCAAACUUGAUCAUUUAGAGGAAGUAAAAGUCGUAACA
RNAcentral lists this ribosomal RNA (333 nucleotides) under uncultured eukaryote. RNAcentral's name for it is "partial 18S ribosomal RNA". It matches the Rfam family "Eukaryotic small subunit ribosomal RNA", at positions 1470 to 1796 of the family's 1831-position model. The record is from RNAcentral.